GGAACAUUAUUGACGCUGAGACGCGAAAAGCGUGGGGAGCAACCAGGAUUAGAUNCCCUGGUAGUCCACGCCCUAAANCGAUGUACACUAGUUGUUGUGAGGCUCGACCNUGCAGUAAUGCAGUUANCACAUUAAGUGUACCGCCUGGGGAGUACGGUCGCAAGAUUAAAACUCAAAGGAAUAGACGGGGACCCGCACAAGCGGUGGAGCAUGUGGUUUAAUUCGACGAUACACGAAGAACCUUACCUGGACUUGACAUAGUAAGAACUUUCUAGAGAUAGAUUGGUGUCUGCUUGCAGAAACUUAUAUACAGGUGCUGCACGGCUGUCGUCAGCUCGUGUCGUGAGAUGUUGGGUUAAGUCCCGCAACGAGCGCAACCCUCGUCAUUAGUUGCUAACAGUUCGGCUGAGAACUCUAAUGAGACUGCCUACGCAAGUAGGAGGAAGGUGAGGACGACGUCAAGUCAUCAUGGCCCUUACGUCCAGGGCUACACACGUGCUACAAUGGGGUAUACAAAGAGCAGCAAUACGGUGACGUGGAGCAAAUCUCAAAAAUAUCUCCCAGUUCGGAUUGUAGUCUGCAACUCGACUACAUGAAGUUGGAAUCGCUAGUAAUCGUAGAUCAGCUAUGCUACGGUGAAUACGUUCCCGGGUCUUGUACUCACCGCCCGUCACACCAUGGGAGUUGAACUCAUUCGAAGCGGGGAUGCUAAAGUAGCUACCUUCCACAGUGGAUUCAGCGACUGGGGUGAAGUCGUAACAAGGUAACC
Molecule: ribosomal RNA, 769 nt
Filed under: uncultured bacterium
Lineage: Bacteria
Description: bacterial SSU rRNA
Rfam family: Bacterial small subunit ribosomal RNA
Source: RNAcentral